AAUAUAUACAUAUUAAAAGUGCACUUAAUAUGCGCUUAUGUUUCAUGUUUCCUUACUACAUCACACUCUUCUGUUGUGCUUCCAGCUCACCUACUGUCAUCAAACCCAGGUGCAUUUACAAAUACGCACACUUUCUUCUUGUGAGCCUCUUGACUAGAGGUGAAUAUUCAAAUUGAAAAGUGCCCUGCAGCCCAGUCCUCUGUGUUGUGUCCUCCCUGCAGUGCUGCAAGGAGCCUCUGGGAGUUCCAGGGAGAAGAGACCUGUCCCCUUUUGGAGAUCUUUGCUACUGGUGACGACCUUCAAACAAGUCAAGCAGACAAAGCAGGAGCUCAGAAGUUUUACAUCAAGCCUCCACUGGAGCUUUGCAGUCCACCAUUCAGAGCCUAGACAAGAGUUCAGCACUGCGCUUUUUCAGAUCACACAAAGGAAGCGACGAGACUCCCACAUCUUUCAGCGAGAAGAAAGGAGGCAGUGGAGCAGACUAAUACGGACUUGUGUCUGGUGGCCUUGCAGUACAAAGGCUGCCUUUAAAAGAGAAGCGCAGCGUUAUUUAAUGAGCUGUGAGAUGAGGCGCUGCUGCUAACGCUCAGAUCCCUGGAUUCAUCGGCUAUUCAUUGUGCUUAAUGUACAUGUUUCUACACCGUGCGUUUAGGAGAUCCCAGAGAAGAAUCCAAAACGGCUG
This 682-nucleotide long non-coding RNA is filed under the name Coturnix japonica (Japanese quail). RNAcentral's name for it is "lncRNA (ENSCJPG00005010420.1)". Lineage: Eukaryota; Metazoa; Chordata; Aves; Galliformes; Phasianidae. The record is from RNAcentral.